This 73-nucleotide transfer RNA is filed under the name Prevotella denticola. Its description in RNAcentral is "tRNA-Trp". It matches the Rfam family "tRNA". From Rfam's summary of the family: Transfer RNA (tRNA) molecules are approximately 80 nucleotides in length. The record is from RNAcentral. Lineage: Bacteria; Pseudomonadati; Bacteroidota; Bacteroidia; Bacteroidales; Prevotellaceae.
ACGGGUUUAGCUCAGUCGGUAGAGCACUGGUCUCCAAAACCAGGUGUCGAGGGUUCGAAUCCUUCAACCCGUG